Molecule: long non-coding RNA, 475 nt
Filed under: Zonotrichia albicollis (white-throated sparrow)
Lineage: Eukaryota; Metazoa; Chordata; Aves; Passeriformes; Passerellidae
Description: lncRNA (ENSZALG00000009643.1)
Source: RNAcentral
AGUUUUGUUCCUCAGUUUUCUGCAGAUGAAAUGAUAGAAAGCUAGAUUUGAGUUUUAGACUUUCUCUGGCUAGCAUGAGCUGGUCUUGACUUGAAGCUCCUUUGUCUGCCACCAGUGGAUCUACUGAGAACAGAGGCUCUUAUCCAAAGGCAGCUCAUGACAACAGAGGAAAGAGCAGAUCAUGGCCCCAAAUCCUGCCCUGGAGCUGAGCAGGGCUCAAGGAGUGGCCCCGUGUGGAGAAGCAGAUGGAGCUCUGCAAACUAUCAGCAUGCUGGAUUUUAUGGAGCAUUUCUGGAGCUGAGGGACAACUGUCUGGGAAUUUCCAGGUCAGGUAACCUUGCUCACUCUUGUAGAAAGCCUGAGGAGCUCCAGGAGGGAUUUAAAGAAGAGAUCUUCCUCUCCUGUUCAGGUGAAUAGUCAUGAAUUAGACUCUUGGGAGACUAAAGCAGUAUAAAUACAUGAGGAAAUCUUUUGA